Molecule: long non-coding RNA, 2498 nt
Organism: Pecten maximus
Lineage: Eukaryota; Metazoa; Mollusca; Bivalvia; Pectinida; Pectinidae
Exons: 2
Source: RefSeq, a predicted model, not a curated record
UGUAUAAGCAUAUAUUUAUCAGAUAGGUGUGUAAACCUGAAUAAGCAUGUAUUUAUCAGAUAGGUGUGGUAACCUGAAUAAGCAUGCCUUUAUCAGAAAUGUGUAUAAACCUGAAUAAAUAUGUCUUAUAAAUAUAUCAGAUACGUGUGCGAAUAUACAAUGAAUGUGUUUCAUGGUGCUACAAUCGAGGUCUUCAUUUAAACUGGACAUCACAAAAGAUCAGCGUUAAUUAUACAUGUUAGAGAGCUUGUACAUUUAUCCUCUUUAAAUACCGUGAUAAUCUUCUCUGUGUAUUUUUAUGAAAUAUACUUCUUUCAUUAUUUUUCCUUAAUUAUUUCUACUUCUUUCUAUUAAUGCUGAUUUUGUGAUAUUUGAUCAUUAGGGCCAGGCAUACUCUCAGAUUAAAUAAAUUCCUGAGCUAUUAAAAAAUUUUUUUUUUUAUAAAAUCUUAAGUACAGUUUAACUUGUGUGUGUGGUAAUUAAAUCAUAAGUAAUUUGUAUAUCUGGUAACUAAAACAUAAGUAAUUUCUGUAUACGGUAACUAAAACAUAAGUAAUUUCUGUAUACGGUAACUGAAUCUGUUGGUUCAAAAUAUGAUCUAAGUUUACACUGUGAAGGCUUGUGUAUAUAUGGUACAUGGAGCUCUACUUAAUAUAGCACUGUUUUAAAAUGUCACAAUUUAUUAAACAAGGUACAUACAUUUGUUUUAAUUGAAAAUUCUGUAAUUUAAAAGUUUAAAGUCGCACAUCACAUAAUAUGCAUACAUCAUUUUGAUAAAUAACAGCUAUUUAAUCAACAGAGACAAUGCUACCAGGUGGGUUGUACAUAUUAUGCCACAAAACAUUACAGUUGUAUUAUAAAUAUGUAAUAAAGUUUAUCUCUAAGUUUGCAUAUACAAUGUACAUGACUUUGUAUAAUGUCUCUGUUGACAAUUUCCUACUCAUUUACACAUGGUAUAUUUGUUCACUUUUUUUUUUUCUUUUAUUGAUAUUUUCUGUAGGAAAUGAAACUGUUCGAGCCACAAAUGGCUUAAAUCUGCGAACAUAAAAUGUGCAAAGACCUGGGAAUGGAUGGAUCUAAACGAAAUAAAUAAAUAAAUAAUCACAAUCAAAAAUGGUUUCCAACUGAUGUGUGUAAAAUUUGUAGCAAAAUUUACCACUGAUUUCAAGAUUUAUUUUGAGAUUUGAACCUAAAAAGAAAUAUUUUUAAAUCAACAUCAACCCAUCUCAAACUCCAAAACAUCCUCUUGAAGAAAUUACUGUUACAUUUGUAUUUACAUUCAUAAUUGUAAUACAUUUUGUAUAUAUAUAUAUAUAUAUAUUAUAGCAUUUAUUGAUAAUCAUUUUAUCACCUCAAUUAAAAUAUUAUGUUUUAUAAUCCUUAUUCUAAAAAAUAACAUAUUGUGUUUUUGUUUUUCUUAAAUAUAAUUCUGUAUCUUUUGUGGCUAUGUUUUACAUUUGUUUCAUUUUUUCUUCAGAUAUAUAAUUACAUUUAUAAUUUAUGAAAUAUACAAUGAUAUUACAUCAGCUUGCCAGACUGGUACAAUCCUUACAAAGUCUUCUGUAAAACCGUUUAUUGUUAAUAUCUUAUAGUUAUUUUUUGAUAAAUUAUCAAUUGUGUGAUGUGUUCAAUAUUUUGAGACUAUUUUCAAAUAUGUAUUCAUAUGUUGUCGGCUCACCUGAUUUGGUCAGGCCAAUCUUUUACUGUCCAAACCAUGACCUGCUUAAAUUGUGAUACGCAGGGAUCAACCAUUUAUCAUUUAAUUAGAAAGAUUGAUUAUGUCGAUUUUUGAAAAAUGAAAUCAUCAAAAGAAUGUUUAAACACAGAAUAGAACAUAUUCUCCGAUUUUAUCUAAAUACCAUUGUCAUAAGUAUUGUAGUUGAGGCGUUUUAUCGUCAACCAGACAUUAAAAACACCAUUUCUCUUUCUUAAAUUUGAAGAGUAAUGACCAAUUAUUUGAUAUUUAUUUGAACUAAACUUGCCAGGUUUUAAAGAUAAAUAUCUAUUUUUAGUACUCUGUCGUUAAAAUGCAAUCUCUGGUUUUCUCUGAACACUUUUCAACCAUAUAUUAAGGGAAUCAUGUUUCACCCAUGUCACGUCAAUGGUUUUCACCGCCUCGGAUAACACACCAGCCUAGCUUUGCUUCAUUCUUUUAAAUGAUUAUAAUUUUUCACGCUCUUCUGGUAAUUAAUGGAAAUUGGUAUGGCUAUUUAUAAGAUAAGAAUGAAACGAAAGUAGAGCUGUUGGCCAAGUGAUUGUUUACUCCACUGGAUCAGUCUGAUAAUGGGACUUGCUGAUGACUAAUUGGGUUAUGGCGGCUAACCAAUAAGGUCAUGACCUUUCAUACAACUCUGAAGUGUUGAAAUGUAUGUGAAGGAAUGUUAUUCGUCUUUCAGAAGUACAUUCAUUAUAAACCAGUCUUUCAUAUCUGUUCUAUGUUGUGGUAUGUUAAAUGUGAAUCUUUAAAUAUCUAAUAAAAGCUCUUUAAAAAUUGAAAA